This 253-nucleotide ribosomal RNA is filed under the name uncultured bacterium. RNAcentral describes it as "partial 16S ribosomal RNA". It matches the Rfam family "Bacterial small subunit ribosomal RNA", at positions 524 to 776 of the family's 1533-position model. The record is from RNAcentral.
UACGGGGGGGGCAAGCGUUGUUCGGAAUUACUGGGCGUAAAGGGCUCGUAGGCGGCCAACUAAGUCGGAUGUGAAAUCCCCAGGCUUAACCUGGGAACUGCAUCCGAUACUGAUUGGCUUGAAUCCGGGAGAGGGAUGCAGAAUUCCAGGUGUAGCGGUGAAAUGCGUAGAUAUCUGGAGGAAUACCGGUGGCGAAGGCGGCAUCCUGGACCGGCAUUGACGCUGAAAAGCGAAAGCUAGGGGAGCAAACGGG